RNAcentral lists this transfer RNA (94 nucleotides) under Actinomycetota bacterium. RNAcentral's name for it is "Actinobacteria bacterium tRNA-Ser". It matches the Rfam family "tRNA". From Rfam's summary of the family: Transfer RNA (tRNA) molecules are approximately 80 nucleotides in length. The record is from RNAcentral. Lineage: Bacteria; Bacillati; Actinomycetota. RNAcentral also lists the same sequence under 1 other name.
GGAGACGUCGCAUAGCCCGGUCGAGUGCGCCUCACUGCUAAUGAGGUAGGGGUGUUAAAGCCCCUCGGAGGUUCAAAUCCUCUCGUCUCCGCCA